GCAACGCGAAGAACCUUACCUGGUCUUGACAUCCACAGAACUUUCCAGAGAUGGAUUGGUGCCUUCGGGAACUGUGAGACAGGUGCUGCAUGGCUGUCGUCAGCUCGUGUUGUGAAAUGUUGGGUUAAGUCCCGCAACGAGCGCAACCCUUAUCCUUUGUUGCCAGCGAUUAGGUCGGGAACUCAAAGGAGACUGCCAGUGAUAAACUGGAGGAAGGUGGGGAUGACGUCAAGUCAUCAUGGCCCUUACGACCAGGGCUACACACGUGCUACAAUGGCGCAUACAAAGAGAAGCGACCUCGCGAGAGCAAGCGGACCUCAUAAAGUGCGUCGUAGUCCGGAUUGGAGUCUGCAACUCGACUCCAUGAAGUCGGAAUCGCUAGUAAUCGUGGAUCAGAAUGCCACGGUGAAUACGUUCCCGGGCCUUGUACACACCGCCCGUCACACCAUGGGAGUGGGUUGCAAAAGAAGUAGGUAGCUUAACCUUCGGGAGGGCGCUUACCACUUUGUGAUUCAUGACUGGGGUGAAGUCGUAACAAGGUAACCGUAGGGGAACCUGCGGUUGGA
RNAcentral lists this ribosomal RNA (566 nucleotides) under Salmonella enterica. Its description in RNAcentral is "bacterial SSU rRNA". It matches the Rfam family "Bacterial small subunit ribosomal RNA", at positions 956 to 1522 of the family's 1533-position model. The record is from RNAcentral. Lineage: Bacteria; Pseudomonadati; Pseudomonadota; Gammaproteobacteria; Enterobacterales; Enterobacteriaceae.